This 78-nucleotide transfer RNA is filed under the name miscellaneous Crenarchaeota group-15 archaeon DG-45. Its description in RNAcentral is "tRNA-Val". It matches the Rfam family "tRNA". From Rfam's summary of the family: Transfer RNA (tRNA) molecules are approximately 80 nucleotides in length. Their secondary structure includes four short double-helical elements and three loops (D, anti-codon, and T loops). The record is from RNAcentral. Lineage: Archaea; Thermoproteati; Candidatus Bathyarchaeota.
GGGCCCGUGGCCAAGCCAGGACAAGGCACCGAGCCGACGAGCCGGAGAUCGAGGGUUCAAAUCCCCCCGGGCCCGCCA